GUUGCUCUUUUAAGACUUCCGAAAGCAUGCUCCACACCUCGUCCCUCUCAGAUUUUGGACGUCUCUUCAGAUUCUUACAUCUUGAGUCGAGAACUGUAGCUAUUUUUAGAAAUCUCACAUUGGUACCUUCUUUGCCUUUUGUGAAAAAUC
Molecule: long non-coding RNA, 150 nt
Organism: Dermochelys coriacea (leatherback sea turtle)
Lineage: Eukaryota; Metazoa; Chordata; Testudines; Dermochelyidae
Exons: 3
Source: RefSeq, a predicted model, not a curated record